AGAGUUUGAUCAUGGCUCAGGAUUAACGCUAGCGGCAGGCCUAAUACAUGCAAGUCGAACGGCAGCACGGGUAGCAAUACCUGGUGGCGAGUGGCGCACGGGUGCGUAACGCGUAUGCAAUCUACCUAUAACUGGGGAAUAGCCUUCCGAAAGGAAGAUUAACACCGCAUAAAAUCACGAAGCGGCAUCGUUUUGUGAUCAAAUCUCCGGAGGUUAUAGAUGAGCAUGCGUGACAUUAGCUAGUUGGUGAGGUAACGGCUCACCAAGGCGACGAUGUCUAGGGGGUCUGAGAGGAUGAUCCCCCACACUGGUACUGAGACACGGACCAGACUCCUACGGGAGGCAGCAGUAAGGAAUAUUGGACAAUGGGCGCAAGCCUGAUCCAGCCAUGCCGCGUGCAGGAUGAAGGUGCUCUGCAUUGUAAACUGCUUUUGUUUGGGAAUAAACCCUUCUACGUGUAGAGGGCUGAAUGUACCAAAAGAAUAAGGGACGGCUAACUUCGUGCCAGCAGCCGCGGUAAUACGAAGGUCCCGAGCGUUAUCCGGAUUUAUUGGGUUUAAAGGGUGCGUAGGCGGGUUAUUAAGUCAGUGGUGAAAGCCUACAGCUUAACUGUAGAAUUGCCAUUGAUACUGAUGAUCUUGAGUGUGAUUGAGGUGGGCGGAAUGUGUCAUGUAGCGGUGAAAUGCUUAGAUAUGACACAGAACACCGAUUGCGAAGGCAGCUCACUAAGUCAACACUGACGCUGAUGCACGAAAGCGUGGGGAGCAAACAGGAUUAGAUACCCUAGUAGUCC
Molecule: ribosomal RNA, 793 nt
Filed under: uncultured bacterium
Lineage: Bacteria
Description: bacterial SSU rRNA
Rfam family: Bacterial small subunit ribosomal RNA
Source: RNAcentral